Molecule: long non-coding RNA, 224 nt
Filed under: Helianthus annuus (common sunflower)
Lineage: Eukaryota; Viridiplantae; Streptophyta; Magnoliopsida; Asterales; Asteraceae
Description: sRNA HanXRQr2_Chr06g0272351
Source: RNAcentral
UAUAAACAAUCCCGUUUACAUCUCACUUCUGGUGUCAUGUGUAUGCCCCUAGGUGCAUAUUGUGGGAACUUGCUGUCUGGGAAGCUGGAGUGGUCAUGGGUCAAGAUACACGGAAUCGCAACACAAGAUUAAUGGUUUUUACAUGUGGUUUAUAAACAAUUAACGAACGAAUUAUGCUUCUGCUAUAUACUGUGAAUUAUUUGUAACGUUGUAACACUUAAUGU